GGGCAGGAAAGCGCAGCAGAGCAUUUGACUCCUAGGCAAAAGGUUCUGGGUUCAAUCCCCCGACGUCCGCAGCCCA
Merluccius polli (Benguela hake) is the source of this 76-nucleotide non-coding RNA. The record is from the annotation of a GenBank genome assembly. NCBI's taxonomy places the organism in Eukaryota, Metazoa, Chordata, Actinopteri, Gadiformes, Merlucciidae.